CAGUCGCCGCGGUAAUACGAAGGGGGCUAGCGUUGUUCGGAUUUACUGGGCGUAAAGGGCGCGUAGGCGGACUGAUAAGUCAGGGGUGAAAUCCCAAGGCUCAACCUUGGAACUGCCUUUGAUACUGUUUGUCUUGAGUUCGAGAGAGGUAAGUGGAACUGCGAGUGUAGAGGUGAAAUUCGUAGAUAUUCGCAAGAACACCAGUGGCGAAGGCGGCUUACUGGCUCGAAACUGACGCUGAGGCGCGAAAGCGUGGGGAGCAAACAGGAUUAGAGACCCCUGUAGUCCCUGUCUCUUAUAC
RNAcentral lists this ribosomal RNA (301 nucleotides) under uncultured bacterium. RNAcentral describes it as "partial 16S ribosomal RNA". It matches the Rfam family "Bacterial small subunit ribosomal RNA", at positions 509 to 807 of the family's 1533-position model. The record is from RNAcentral.